AGUGAACGCUGGCGGUAGGCCUAACACAUGCAAGUCGAACGGCAGCACAGUAAGAGCUUGCUCUUACGGGUGGCGAGUGGCGGACGGGUGAGGAAUACAUCGGAAUCUACUUUUUCGUGGGGGAUAACGUAGGGAAACUUACGCUAAUACCGCAUACGACCUACGGGUGAAAGCAGGGGAUCUUCGGACCUUGCGCGAUUGAAUGAGCCGAUGUCGGAUUAGCUAGUUGGCGGGGUAAAGGCCCACCAAGGCGACGAUCCGUAGCUGGUCUGAGAGGAUGAACAGCCACAGUGGAACUGAGACCCGGUCCAGACCCCUACGGGAGGCAGCAGGGGGGAAUAUUGGACAAUGGGCGCAAGCCUGAACCAGCCAUACCGCGGGGGUGAAGAAGGCCUUCGGGUUGUAAAGCCCUUUUGUUGGGAAAGAAAAGCAGCAGGUUAAUACCCCGCUGUUCUGACGGUACCCAAAAAAUAAGCACCGGCUAACUUCGU
Molecule: ribosomal RNA, 491 nt
Filed under: uncultured bacterium
Lineage: Bacteria
Description: partial 16S ribosomal RNA
Rfam family: Bacterial small subunit ribosomal RNA
Source: RNAcentral